Molecule: ribosomal RNA, 467 nt
Filed under: uncultured bacterium
Lineage: Bacteria
Description: partial 16S ribosomal RNA
Rfam family: Bacterial small subunit ribosomal RNA
Source: RNAcentral
ACGAACGCUGGCGGCGUGCUUAACACCUGCAAGUCGAACGGAAAGGCCCUGCUUUUGUGGGGUGCUCGAGUGGCGAACGGGUGAGUAACACGUGAGUAACCUGCCCUUGACUUUGGGAUAACUUCAGGAAACUGGGGCUAAUACCGGAUAGGAGCUCCUGCUGCAUGGUGGGGGUUGGAAAGUUUCGGCGGUUGGGGAUGGACUCGCGGCUUAUCAGCUUGUUGGUGGGGUAGUGGCUUACCAAGGCUUUGACGGGUAGCCGGCCUGAGAGGGUGACCGGCCACAUUGGGACUGAGAUACGGCCCAGACUCCUACGGGAGGCAGCAGUGGGGAAUAUUGCACAAUGGGCGGAAGCCUGAUGCAGCAACGCCGCGUGCGGGAUGACGGCCUUCGGGUUGUAAACCGCUUUCGCCUGUGAUGAAGCGUGAGUGACGGUAAUGGGUAAAGAAGCACCGGCUAACUACGUG